AGUAACGGCGAGUGAAGCGGCAACAGCUCAAAUUUGAAAUCUGGCGUCUUCGACGUCCGAGUUGUAAUUUGCAGAGGGCGCUUUGGCAUUGGCAGCGGUCCCAGUUCCUUGGAACAGGACGUCACAGAGGGUGAGAAUCCCGUACGUGGUCGCUCGCCUUUACCGUGUAAAGCCCCUUCGACGAGUCGAGUUGUUUGGG
Molecule: ribosomal RNA, 199 nt
Filed under: Didymella heteroderae
Lineage: Eukaryota; Fungi; Ascomycota; Dothideomycetes; Pleosporales; Didymellaceae
Description: partial large subunit ribosomal RNA
Rfam family: Eukaryotic large subunit ribosomal RNA
Source: RNAcentral